CCUACGGGGGGCAGCAGUGGGGAAUAUUGGACAAUGGGGGGAACCCUGAUCCAGCCAUGCCGCGUGUGUGAAGAAGGCCCUCGGGUUGUAAAGCACUUUCAGUGAGGAAGAACGCCUGGUGGUUAAUACCCAUCAGGAAAGACAUCACUCACAGAAGAAGCACCGGCUAACUCCGUGCCAGCAGCCGCGGUAAUACGGAGGGUGCGAGCGUUAAUCGGAAUUACUGGGCGUAAAGCGCGCGUAGGUGGCUUGAUAAGCCGGGUGUGAAAGCCCCGGGCUCAACCUGGGAACGGCAUCCGGAACUGUCACGCUAGAGUGUAGGAGAGGAAGGUAGAAAUCCAGGUGUAGCGGUGAAAUGCGUAGAGAUCGGGAGGAACACCAGUGGCGAAGGCGGCAAUCUGGACUGAUACUGACCCUGAGGUGCGAAAGCGUGGGUAGCAAACAGGAUUAGCUACCCGGGUAGUC
Molecule: ribosomal RNA, 465 nt
Filed under: Vreelandella stevensii
Lineage: Bacteria; Pseudomonadati; Pseudomonadota; Gammaproteobacteria; Oceanospirillales; Halomonadaceae
Description: partial 16S ribosomal RNA
Rfam family: Bacterial small subunit ribosomal RNA
Source: RNAcentral